This 490-nucleotide ribosomal RNA is filed under the name uncultured archaeon. RNAcentral's name for it is "bacterial SSU rRNA". It matches the Rfam family "Archaeal small subunit ribosomal RNA", at positions 339 to 832 of the family's 1478-position model. The record is from RNAcentral.
UGAGGAACCCUUCCGAAAAAACACGAAAGUUGUGACGGGGUAACCCAAAGUGUCCUUAAUAGGACUGUGGUAGGUGAGUAAUGUCCCCUACUAGAAAGGAGAGGGCAAGGCUGGUGCCAGCCGCCGCGGUAAAACCAGCUCUUCAAGUGGUCGGGAUAAUUAUUGGGCUUAAAGUGUCCGUAGCCGGUUUAGUAAGUUCCUGGUAAAAUCAGGUAGCUUAACUAUCUGUAUGCUAGGAAUACUGCUAUACUAGAGGGCGGGAGAGGUCUGAGGUACUACAGGGGUAGGGGUGAAAUCUUAUAAUCCUUGUAGGACCACCAGUGGCGAAGGCGUCAGACUGGAACGUGCCUGACGGUGAGGGACGAAAGCCAGGGGAGCGAACCGGAUUAGAUACCCGGGUAGUCCUGGCCGUAAACGAUGCAUACUAGGUGAUGGCCCGGCCAUGAGCCGUGUCAGUGCCGUAGGGAAACCGUUAAGUGUGCCGCCUGGG